RNAcentral lists this ribosomal RNA (235 nucleotides) under uncultured bacterium. RNAcentral describes it as "partial 16S ribosomal RNA". It matches the Rfam family "Bacterial small subunit ribosomal RNA", at positions 118 to 349 of the family's 1533-position model. The record is from RNAcentral.
UGAGGAACAUGACCUUCGGCGGGGGAUAGCCGGCCCAACGGCCGGGUAAUACCGCGUACGACCACAUGGGGACAUCCCCGAGUGGUGAAAGCAGCAAUGCGCCGAUGGAGUGCCUCGCGGCCUAUCAGCUAGUUGGUGAGGUAACGGCUCACCAAGGCGACGACGGGUAGCUGGUCUGAGAGGAUGGCCAGCCACAUUGGGACUGAGACACGGCCCAGACUCCGUAGGGAGGCGG